GCAGCAGUGGUUCAGUGGUGGAAUUCUCGCCUUCCAUGUGGGAGACCCAGGUUCGAUUCCCAGCCAAUGCA
RNAcentral lists this transfer RNA (71 nucleotides) under Loxodonta africana (African savanna elephant). It matches the Rfam family "tRNA". Rfam says of the family: Transfer RNA (tRNA) molecules are approximately 80 nucleotides in length. Their secondary structure includes four short double-helical elements and three loops (D, anti-codon, and T loops). Lineage: Eukaryota; Metazoa; Chordata; Mammalia; Proboscidea; Elephantidae. The record is from Rfam by way of RNAcentral.